CACCACAAAAUAACCACGACGCGGCAUAAAAGGCCACAAAGAUAAUUAUUGAACGACUAUUAAAUGGGUAUGUAUUCGAAUCGCUCUGGUUUAGUUUAGUUAUAUGCAAAUGCAAAUACAACCUCAUCAGUUAGUAUAAAAUAUUACAUGCCAUUAAUUAAUUACAUUUUUGCAAAUUAACCCCCUGAUAGCUAGUUUAAAAUAGAUAAAAUCACUCAGAGACAGAAGUUGUUCAUAAACAAGAAAACAAUAGCUUGUGAUGCAGAAUUGUCCAUUAAAAUCCAUACGGUUAAUUAAUGUGCUUUUCUUAACAUAGUAAUUGAACUUAAAGCAUUUUUUCAAGAAAAAGUGAGCAAAAACUAUCCCGAACAGUUUUCGUAUGUACAUUUGACCCAUUUACUAUGUAAAAAAAAAUGUUUUGGUAAAGUUUACUAUGUAAAAAAAAAAUGUUUUGGUAAAGUUUAAUAAAAAGUGGAAAAAAAUGAUCAGAUAAAUCAAAAUUGCUUUACAUUAGAUUAUAUUACAUUCAAAGCAAAAUGCUAGCAGAAAUUUUUGUUUUUAACGCUUUGGAGGAGCAAGUGCUCUGGAUUUUACACCACAGAGUCACAAAAUAGAAUGCAGAAGACAUCUCAUACACUAUUAUGUUCCCCUGAAAACCCUAGGAGCCUCUUCGUAGAUAACUUGGUUUUGUGGCCCCCCAUAUUUAUCAUGCCCAUAAAUUUUGUAUGGCGCCUACCAAAACAAAAAAAAAAAAAACGCGGCGCAAAGUUGAGCGCUAAAAAAUUCGAUUUUGACAGACCGUUAUGCAGUGAAGAUCGCAGCAGAUAACGGAAAUAUUGUAAUUUUUCUGAAAAAUUUAUUGACGCGUGAUGUUUAAUGCUUGUACAAAUGGAUAAUUUAAGUGAGAAUUCGACCUAAAUUUGCCGCUUUAUUUAGGGGUGUCACGUCGGCGCGUUUGUAAAGAUUUUAGUUGAGUAUUAGUUGAUUUUGAAAAAUGUACGCGCUUAAAACGAAAAUCAGUAAAUUUACGAUUAUACAAAUAAUAAA
Bactrocera neohumeralis is the source of this 1047-nucleotide long non-coding RNA. RefSeq lists it as uncharacterized. The record is from RefSeq and is a predicted model, not a curated record. NCBI's taxonomy places the organism in Eukaryota, Metazoa, Arthropoda, Insecta, Diptera, Tephritidae. The transcript has 2 exons.